This 253-nucleotide ribosomal RNA is filed under the name uncultured bacterium. Its description in RNAcentral is "partial 16S ribosomal RNA". It matches the Rfam family "Bacterial small subunit ribosomal RNA", at positions 524 to 776 of the family's 1533-position model. The record is from RNAcentral.
UACGAAGGGGGCUAGCGUUGCUCGGAAUCACUGGGCGUAAAGCGCACGUAGGCGGAUUGCUAAGUCAGGGGUGAAAUCCUGGAGCUCAACUCCAGAACUGCCUUUGAUACUGGCAACCUUGAGUCCGGGGGAGGUGAGUGGAACUGCGAGUGUAGAGGUGAAAUUCGUAGAUAUUCGCAAGAACACCAGUGGCGAAGGCGGCUCACUGGCCCGGUACUGACGCUGAGGCACGAAAGCGUGGGGAGCAAACAGG